Poeciliopsis prolifica (blackstripe livebearer) is the source of this 295-nucleotide long non-coding RNA. RefSeq lists it as uncharacterized. The record is from RefSeq and is a predicted model, not a curated record. The transcript has 3 exons. NCBI's taxonomy places the organism in Eukaryota, Metazoa, Chordata, Actinopteri, Cyprinodontiformes, Poeciliidae.
CACCUGUUCAGGUGUGGCUCCAGUCUGUUUGUCGGGUCUCAGAUUGUGUUAAAUUUUCUUCUUUAACUCUUUGGAUCGUUUCAACAAACUGUGAAGCUAGAAAGUGUGUGUGAGCUGAUGUGGAUUCAGCAGCAUGGAUCAGUGUGAGGACAGAGAGGAGGGAGUCCCUCCCUCUAAAACCACUCUGUGUGGGGAAGAUGAGAGCCAGAGCAAAGGUCAGAGGAUCCAUCAGAGACUCAAACCAGAACCAGAACCAGAACCCAGCUGUGUUUCCUUUAAGAGCGACAGGUCAAAG